RNAcentral lists this ribosomal RNA (253 nucleotides) under uncultured bacterium. RNAcentral describes it as "partial 16S ribosomal RNA". It matches the Rfam family "Bacterial small subunit ribosomal RNA", at positions 524 to 776 of the family's 1533-position model. The record is from RNAcentral.
UACGGAGGGAGCUAGCGUUGUUCGGAAUUACUGGGUGUAAAGGGUCAGUAGGCGGUGCGGCAAGUCGGGAGUGAAAUCUCUGGGCUUAACCCAGAGGCUGCUUCCGAAACUGCUGUGCUUGAGUGUGGGAGAGGCGCGUGGAAUUGCAGGUGUAGCGGUGAAAUGCGUAGAUAUCUGCAGGAACACCCGUGGCGAAAGCGGCGCGCUGGACCACAACUGACGCUGAAUGACGAAAGCUAGGGGAGCAAACAGG